CCUACGGGUGGCAGCAGUGGGGGAUAUUGCACAAUGGGGGGAACCCUGAUGCAGCGACGCCGCGUGGGUGAAGGAGUGCUUCGGCAUGUAAAGCCCUAUCGGCAGGGAGGAAGCAAGACGGUACCUGACUAGGAAGCCCCGGCUAACUCCGUGCCAGGAGCCGCGGGACUCCGGAGGGGGCGAGCGGUUUCCGGAUUCACUGGGUGGAAAGGGAGCGUAGACGGCCAUGCAAGCCAGGGGGGAAAGCCCGGGGCCCACCCCCGGGACUGCCGUUGGAACGGCAUGGUGGGAGUGCGGGAGGGGCAGGCGGAAUUCCUGGUGUAGCGGUGAAAUGCGUAGAUAGCAGGAGGAACACCGGCGGCGAAGGCGGCCUGCUGGACCGCGACUGACGUUGAGGCUCGAAAGCGUGGGGAGCGAACAGGAUUAGAUACCCCUGUAGUC
RNAcentral lists this ribosomal RNA (441 nucleotides) under uncultured bacterium. Its description in RNAcentral is "partial 16S ribosomal RNA". It matches the Rfam family "Bacterial small subunit ribosomal RNA", at positions 338 to 795 of the family's 1533-position model. The record is from RNAcentral.